This is a non-coding RNA of Paramuricea clavata, 460 nucleotides long. NCBI's taxonomy places the organism in Eukaryota, Metazoa, Cnidaria, Anthozoa, Malacalcyonacea, Plexauridae. The record is from the annotation of a GenBank genome assembly.
CCCAUAUAUAAAACAUGUCAAAUGUUUUCAUUUUAAAACUUCUUAUCGUGCGGAAUACAAAGACUGUUUGUAUAUAAAAGCAGUCUCGAGAGCGGACCACCAGUCGGUCAAUAAUUGAAAUAUUCCGUUGGCGGUUAGAAGUAUUAGGAAUAAUAAUUUACAAAAUUCCAGCCAUUUCGGUAACAAUGUCAAUGUCACAAUGACGUAGUUCAAGACAAUAUGGCAGAUAUUGAACUUCACAAUGAGUGAUCCGCCAUUGCGAUGGUUCGCCAUUGGUGGUACGAAAUUGACAACAAAUAAUUUAUGCCGUGGGCCGUUGGCCAAAAUUAUUUCGCUUCGUGGCAACCCCCUGGGGAAUAGCUUUUCUGUGGUUCAAUGCAUAUAGUACUAUAGAUGUUCAAUUACCAAAAAACGUUCCCAAGCAAAAACCUUGCCAAACACCGAGAAAAUGGGUGAUCAG